AAGUACUGAAAAUAUUGAUUCAUAUAGGUUAAUACUUCAAGACUGAAUGGAAUUCAUGUCCCAUCAUCACCAUUGUAAACUACUGAAACCAUCUUCGGUGAGACAAAAUUUCCUGAAAAGGCUGAGGUCAGGACUGGGCUCUGAUAAAGUUGAUGACUUUCACAGCAGUAGACAAGACUCCUUUCAGAAUUGCUGGCACAGCCGAAUUCCUGUUGAUGGUAAGAGCAAUGAAUCACAACGAUCUAUGGAGUGUCUGCAGCACAGCCGCCAGACCAGGUGUGUUACUGAGCUUUUCAGGCGCUGCAUCUGGACCCAGAGAACCAAAACAUUCUGUUUACACAAAGUUCUCCUUGACAGAGACAUUUUUCCCUAUUUUGAAAAUGACAAUGGCUUGUCAGGUUUCCAAAAGGGAAUUAGAACAAUUGGAAUACUUCUUCAGUGGCACCAGUGUACAAAUAAAGAGCGAUAAUGAAGAGCUGGUUAAAA
Molecule: non-coding RNA, 486 nt
Organism: Microcebus murinus (gray mouse lemur)
Lineage: Eukaryota; Metazoa; Chordata; Mammalia; Primates; Cheirogaleidae
Source: RefSeq, a predicted model, not a curated record